Molecule: transfer RNA, 76 nt
Filed under: Pseudomonadales bacterium
Lineage: Bacteria; Pseudomonadati; Pseudomonadota; Gammaproteobacteria; Pseudomonadales
Description: tRNA-Lys
Rfam family: tRNA
About the family: Transfer RNA (tRNA) molecules are approximately 80 nucleotides in length.
Source: RNAcentral
GGGAGCGUAGCUCAGUUGGCAGAGCACCGGCCUUUUAAGCCGAUGGCCGAGAGUUCAAAUCUCUCCGCUCUCAUCA